AUUUCAUACGCAAUGGGAGCUUAUGCACAGCGCUGCAUGGUAAUAUUACUUCGAACUUUGUUUACUUGCUGGAUAGAAAUAAGGUUAAUAAUGUCAACAAGUUUAAUAGACGUGCCCUCGUACUGAUAUGGGAUUGAAUUUAAUAAAUAUUAAAUUAAAUAUUUAUCUAUAAAUUUAUGUGUUGGUUAUAUAUAUUUUAAUUAAUUUAGAUAAAUAUUAAUAUAUUAAACUCAUUCUCUUUCGAAAUAAAAGAUGAUGCUUGUUGCUUGAUCAUACGUGUUAGAAUUUGUUUGCAUCUUUGUUUUAGAUUUUUUUUUGGGUGAAUUAUUUUAGGAUCCUUAAGUUUUCUCAUUAUUUCUUAGUUGAUUUUUGAAUUUUAAUAAUUAUAUUAAUUAGUCUCCAACUUUUUAUUUUGUCUACUAAAUAGUCCUUUAUUCUAAUUUUAAAAAUUAUUAUCACUCGUUAAUUGUGAAAAGGCUAAAUUACCCUUAUUCAAAUAGCUAAUAAAUUGUCCUUUAGUCUAAUAAAUAGCUUAUUACCCUUAGCAAAUAAAAUAGCUAAGUUUUAAGGGUCUUAUAUUUUCACUAACAUGAUUUAUCUAUGAUAAAGAUUUAUUUAAGAUGGUGUUUGUUUUAACUUAUGAGUUGGUAAAGCUCAAAAAAUAAAUUUACCCAUUUGUUUAUAAUAUUUUUUAAACUUAUAAGUCGAGCUUAUAUGCCAAAAGAAAUAAGCUGGGAUAGAUCAACUUUUUAUUUUGGUGCUUAUAAAUGAGUUUGACUAAGUGUUUUACUAUACUACUCUCAUUUAGUUUUAAAAUUUUACUACAUAUCUUAUUUAAUAUUCUUUUAGUAAUCUUAACAAUAAAUGUGCUUAUAAGUUAAUUUUUAUUAAAUCAACUACUUAUGAACACUGUAACUAAACAUGUAAUUUUUUAAAAUUUUAAAUGCUUAUAUGAUUGAAUUAGCUCAUAACUAAUUUUUGUAAGCUAAACUAAGUACCUAAGUUGUAAGGUUCAAAUUAGGUUUUUAAAGCUAAUUAUGAGUUGCCACAAUUCCAAGUUUGUCAUAAACCUGAUUUCACUAGAGAUCUUUUGGUUGGGAGUGGACUAGGUAUGGAAAGAAUGAUGAUUGUGAAUUCUUGAAACUUGUUGAUUGUAAUUUUGAUUUUUGCAAUUCUUGAAACUUGUUGGUUUGCAGUUGAUUUUGAUUCAUUAUUUUUUGGGGUUGUUGAUUUUGCUCGUGUUGAGUUGGGGAGAGAGAGAGAGAGAGAGU
RNAcentral lists this unclassified non-coding RNA (1271 nucleotides) under Hevea brasiliensis (rubber tree). Lineage: Eukaryota; Viridiplantae; Streptophyta; Magnoliopsida; Malpighiales; Euphorbiaceae. The record is from RNAcentral.